GGGGAUUUAGCUCAGUGGCAUAAGCACCUGCCUUGCAAGCAGGAAGUCGUGAGUUCAAUCCCUG
This is a transfer RNA of Cavia porcellus (domestic guinea pig), 64 nucleotides long. It matches the Rfam family "tRNA". From Rfam's summary of the family: Transfer RNA (tRNA) molecules are approximately 80 nucleotides in length. The record is from Rfam. Lineage: Eukaryota; Metazoa; Chordata; Mammalia; Rodentia; Caviidae.